UGGGCUAUGGUGUAAUGGUAACACGUCAGAUUCUGGUCCUGUCUUUCCAGGUUCGAAUCCUGGUAGCCCAA
RNAcentral lists this transfer RNA (71 nucleotides) under Mediterranea sp. (in: CFB group bacteria). RNAcentral describes it as "Mediterranea sp. tRNA-Gln". It matches the Rfam family "tRNA". From Rfam's summary of the family: Transfer RNA (tRNA) molecules are approximately 80 nucleotides in length. Their secondary structure includes four short double-helical elements and three loops (D, anti-codon, and T loops). Further hydrogen bonds mediate the characteristic L-shaped molecular structure. tRNAs have two regions of fundamental functional importance: the anti-codon, which is responsible for specific mRNA codon recognition, and the 3' end, to which the tRNAs corresponding amino acid is attached (by aminoacyl-tRNA synthetases). tRNAs cope with the degeneracy of the genetic code in two manners: having more than one tRNA (with a specific anti-codon) for a particular amino acid; and 'wobble' base-pairing, i.e. permitting non-standard base-pairing at the 3rd anti-codon position. The record is from RNAcentral. Lineage: Bacteria; Pseudomonadati; Bacteroidota; Bacteroidia; Bacteroidales; Bacteroidaceae.